UAUCUCCAAACAGACCAAACCAAGCUUUCACUUGAGCCCCUCUACCAAGGAGUACCAUCGGGUGCAUCCAAAAUGGUUUUUUAGCCUAUGGUGCAUUAGGCGCAAACGGUACACCUAUCUUGCACCGAAACUAACACUGUCUUCAAACAGACCGAAGCGAGAUUCCAUAUGACACGAGUCAUCUAGAAGUUCUAUUGGGUGCGUCC
This 206-nucleotide long non-coding RNA is filed under the name Sorghum bicolor (sorghum). RNAcentral's name for it is "long non-coding RNA (SBIC_LNC018588)". The record is from RNAcentral. Lineage: Eukaryota; Viridiplantae; Streptophyta; Magnoliopsida; Poales; Poaceae.